AUGAACGCUGGCGGCGUGCUUAACACAUGCAAGUCGAGCGAUGAAGUUUCCUUCGGGAAACGGAUUAGCGGCGGACGGGUGAGUAACACGUGGGUAACCUGCCUCAUAGAGUGGAAUAGCCUUCCGAAAGGAAGAUUAAUACCGCAUAACGUUGAAAGAUGGCAUCAUCAUUCAACCAAAGGAGCAAUCCGCUAUGAGAUGGACCCGCGGCGCAUUAGCUAGUUGGUGGGGUAACGGCCUACCAAGGCGACGAUGCGUAGCCGACCUGAGAGGGUGAUCGGCCACAUUGGGACUGAGACACGGCCCAGACUCCUACGGGAGGCAGCAGUGGGGAAUAUUGCACAAUGGGGGAGACCCUGAUGCAGCAACGCCGCGUGAGUGAUGAAGGUUUUCGGAUCGUAAAGCUCUGUCUUUGGGGAAGAUAAUGACGGUACCCAAGGAGGAAGCCACGGCUAACUACGUGCCAGCAGCCGCGGUAAUACGUAGGUGGCGAGCGUUAUCCGGAUUUACUGGGCGUAAAGGGAGCGUAGGCGGAUGAUUAAGUGGGAUGUGAAAUACCCGGGCUCAACUUGGGUGCUGCAUUCCAAACUGGUUAUCUAGAGUGCAGGAGAGGAGAGUGGAAUUCCUAGUGUAGCGGUGAAAUGCGUAGAGAUUAGGAAGAACACCAGUGGCGAAGGCGACUCUCUGGACUGUAACUGACGCUGAGGCUCGAAAGCGUGGGGAGCAAACAGGAUUAGAUACCCUGGUAGUCCACGCCGUAAGCGAUGAAUACUAGGUGUGGGGGUUUCAACACCUCCGUGCCGCCGCUAACGCAUUAAGUAUUCCGCCUGGGGAGUACGGUCGCAAGAUUAAAACUCAAAGGAAUUGACGGGGACCCGCACAAGUAGCGGAGCAUGUGGUUUAAUUCGAAGCAACGCGAAGAACCUUACCUACACUUGACAUCCCUUGCAUUACUCUUAAUCGAGGAAAUCCCUUCGGGGACAAGGUGACAGGUGGUGCAUGGUUGUCGUCAGCUCGUGACGUGAGAUGUUGGGUUAAGUCCCGCAACGAGCGCAACCCUUGUCGUUAGUUACUACCAUUAAGUUGAGGACUCUAGCGAGACUGCCUGGGUUAACCAGGAGGAAGGUGGGGAUGACGUCAAAUCAUCAUGCCCCUUAUGUGUAGGGCUACACACGUGCUACAAUGGCUGGUACAGAGAGAUGCAAUACCGUGAGGUGGAGCCAAACUUUAAAACCAGUCUCAGUUCGGAUUGUAGGCUGAAACUCGCCUACAUGAAGCUGGAGUUACUAGUAAUCGCGAAUCAGAAUGUCGCGGUGAAUACGUUCCCGGGUCUUGUACACACCGCCCGUCACACCAUGAGAGUUGGCAAUACCCGAAGUCCGUGAGCUAACCGCAAGGAGGCAGCGGCCGAAGGUAGGGUCAGCA
Molecule: ribosomal RNA, 1425 nt
Filed under: uncultured organism
Description: partial small subunit ribosomal RNA
Rfam family: Bacterial small subunit ribosomal RNA
Source: RNAcentral